UAACAAAAAAAAAUCGGUAUGUUGCUUUUUUUGUGACUUUUCGGAUUUUGGGUUAUCUUAAUGUUUUUAAAAUUUAAGAGGCUUAAAAUUGAUCUCUUGCGCAUUAUUUUUAGAUGUACAUAAAUUCUUUUAUUCGUCAUAUAAUGCCAAAAUUUGUUAGAUACGAUCAUACUGUGUGGUUCGUACCUAAAAUUUUUCAUA
Non-coding RNA from Rhizophagus clarus, 201 nucleotides. The record is from the annotation of a GenBank genome assembly. NCBI's taxonomy places the organism in Eukaryota, Fungi, Glomeromycota, Glomeromycetes, Glomerales, Glomeraceae.